Molecule: ribosomal RNA, 250 nt
Filed under: uncultured bacterium
Lineage: Bacteria
Description: partial 16S ribosomal RNA
Rfam family: Bacterial small subunit ribosomal RNA
Source: RNAcentral
UACGUAGGCAGCGAGCGUUGUUCGGAGUUACUGGGCGUAAAGGGUGUGUAGGCGGUUCUCCAAGUUUGGUGUGAAAUCUCCCGGCUCAACCGGGAGGGUGCGCCGAAAACUGGAAGGCUGGAGUGCGGAAUGGGAGAGUGGAAUUCCUGGUGUAGCGGUGAAAUGCGUAGAUAUCAGGAGGAACACCGGUGGUGAAGACGGCUCUCUGGACCGUAACUGACGCUGAGACACGAAAGCGUGGGUAGCAAAC